Arachis ipaensis is the source of this 3655-nucleotide non-coding RNA. Lineage: Eukaryota; Viridiplantae; Streptophyta; Magnoliopsida; Fabales; Fabaceae. The record is from RefSeq and is a predicted model, not a curated record.
UGGUGUAAAAAAUGUUGAUUCAGAUAUUUAAAGAGAAAGGGAUCUAGCUUAUGUUGAAGGUGAAAAAUGGUCUCACCGCCAAAACCCUAAUCUCAUCGUAUCCGUCGCUGCCACCAUCGCCACCGCCGUCGAGCAAAGGCGCCUCCUCCACUAACUCAUCUCUAGAUCUGGUAGCAAUGCCCAAACCUCUGACAUCUACGCCUUUUUCUGACACCGCCGAUCUUCAGCAACAAGCUGUGACGUCAAUACAAAUCCCAAAAUCACCUCUCAUAUUGCACUCUGUCUCUCCUAACUCGAAGUACGAAUGGCCGAUCAGAAUCCUGCGGAGUCAGAACCGAAAAGCGGCUCCGAUGCGUCUUCUCGGAUCGAGGAAGUGAGUGAGUGGUUGGCAAAGACAUUUGAAGCCACCGGCAAACCCGUUACAGAGUUUGAGUACACGCCUCGCAGCAUCUCGCAUUUGCACGACCUCUUAAUCGUCUCCAAAGCCAAAGACGAAGCUGCGCGUCUCGUCGCUCGUGAUUUCCACCAGAAGGCCUCUGAGUACCGAUCCCAAGAUAAUGGAAUUUGAAUCGGUCCAUUUGUAUUGGUGGGCAUGCUUUUGGUGAUCAGUAUCAGGCCACUGAUACUGUAAUUAAUGGAGCUGGGAAGCUAAAGUUGGUAUUUGGUAUGUUUACCAGAGUUGCAAUCAAAUAGCUUGACAGGAUCACUGGCCAGGGACAAUCUGCGAUAUCGGUAGAAGAUACCUUGAAGAUCAUAAUCUGCAGUACUUGUUCCAUCGUGUGAUUGUUUAGGAAACAACACAAGAAGCUCUAUUCCCUUGAGAUGGAACUUGCUGCUGCUAGGAAUAAGGGUUUUGUUUUGAAGCAACUGCUUGAGACCAAUGGGAUUUACUUUGAAGGAAAGCCUUUGGUCAUGAUAGGUGUAAUCACAACAUUUGGCCGCCAGAAGAAUAGGGACGCCAUUCGCAAUGUCUGGAUGGGAAGUGUGCAUCUUUGAAGAAACUGGAGGAUAGAAGGGCAUUGUUGCACGAUUUGUUAUUGGGAGAAGUGAAAAUUGUGGAAACAAUCAGGAUAAGGACAUUGAUCGUGAGAAUAGGCUAACUAAUGACUUCCUAAUUCUUCCAAUUAACAAACAGAACGAGAGAUUGCUUGAAAUAGAGAUAGAAGAGAGAUCACCACGAAACUCUAAGCUCAUCGUCAUCGGUAUCGCCGCCGCAGUUCCAAAGGCUUCUAGAAUCGAGCAAAGGCUCCUCUUCCGCCUCUGAGAUCGAGAGAAAGCGUAGAUCCGCAUCGCUAUCAUCAUUUGUUCAUCUCAGAUCUAUGUCGCCAAGGUCUUCCAGCCACCGUUGCUUCUCUUGUCGCAACACCACACCUCCGCCGCUUGCACCGCCUCCGUUCUUGCGUGUAGACGCACAAGAUCGUCGCUGCGGUAACUCUCGAAUAUCAACGUUUUCUCCAGGCCAAUUUUACUUGGCUGGAUUUCUUUAAAAAAUUGAAUAGUAGGAGAAACUUGUAAAAGUGGCCAUGCAUCUCACCACAAUAUCACAAUGGUUUCUUAGCUUUUUCUGGCCAGAUUCAUGUGGAUGAUCACUUCUGUUAGAAAUGAUAUCUUCUUGAUUCUAUCAACUUCCAAGUAAAAAUUUGGAAGAAAAUUUAAGAAUGUUUGUGCUGCUUAUGCUGUUUUACUGGGAUUUAUCUUUCUGAAAUCUGAAGUUAUGAUGCAUGUUGGUGGCUUAUGUGACAUUUCUUUCCUAUUUGUAGCCACCGUCGAUUGUUUCAGAUGAGGUUUGCGCUGCAUGUGAUUUCAACCAUCCUGGAAAGACAUGUCUACGCAAACUUGAGUGGGCUUGGGAUGGAGAAACAUUCAUGGCAAAGAAAAGUGACUAUUAUCAUAUAAAGAAGCAGAUUGAGUCUGAUUUUGUUGAUGGUGCUAAUGUAAGGUUAUCAAAAUCUUUUCUUGACCUGUCCAAGACAGAGCAACAAUCAAGGUUGAAAGAUCGUUUAAAGAAAUACUGCCAGAAGAUAUUUGAAAGGAAAUUGACAAUCUCAUGCCCUUGUGUUAUGCUAAAUGUUGAUGUGGCAAUCAAUAAUACAAAUGAUCAGUAUUUGAUAUGGAUAAAUCAAGCGAAGAGGUGAACUGAAACUAAUAAAAGUUUUCCAGGUAAUACUGGUCAAGAUUAUUAGCUUCAAGCACAAAGCAUCAUAGUAUUUGAUAUAGAUAAAUCAUUAGGAUUGAGGAUAUCUGUUCGUGCUUUCAUCUUGAUGGAACACAUAUUCAAGUGAAAGUUGAAAGUAGAAGACAAGUUAUAUUUAUUUUGGCAAUUUAUAUUAAGCCAUUUGCUUAUUUCUAUUCAGCAAUUAAUCUAAGAAUCUAAAAGUUAAAAAUUAUCUCUUUUGCAUCCACCCACAAUAUUUUGCUAGUUUAUUGCUUAGUGAUAAGAAAAAACUCAUCAUCUCUGUAGGGAACACCUGUAAGCGAACGUAUACUAUGAUUAACAAAUAACAAUUUUUAUUGGUAACUAUGAUCUGCCAUCUAUUUAGUGGUUUUUAUUUUAAUUUUUAACUCAAUGUAGCUAAUUUUCUGAAAAAUAAUUUUAUUUUCUUUUUUUUUAAUUCUAAAUUAUGAAAUUCCUACUAUUUGAGCCAGUUUAUCUGGAAAUUGAUAUAAUUGUAUGGAAUUUUGAUGUGAAUAUUUUAUUAUUCAAAAUCUGAUGGUUGGCAAGAUUAGGGAAUAAUUAAUUAGUUGGAGCCAGAUUCUUAGCUUGCUUACAAGCACCAGUGAGGUUUAUGGAGAUCCUCUUCAGCACCCUCAGAAAGAGAUUUACUGGAGCAACGUUGAUGCCAUUGUACAAACAAGUUUUUAAGUUUGUGAGAAGCUUUAAUGUUCUUCAAAAGCAGUAAUAUUACAGUUAGGAUUUUCGCUCAUCAGAUUUGCACUCCUGCUCCUGGCACCAGUGUUCAUUAUACUAGGAAGUUUUAUGAAAACUUGGUACCAAGUUACACGGUAUACAAGGUCAAAUGCCCAGACCAUUUGAGUUUUUCUUCAACAAUUCAAAAAAUUGUCACAAUUCCCGCUGCCAUGCAAAAGCUCAUCCAGAUUGGUUGCAUAAGAAAGUUCGUGAAAAAGAGGACAAUUUUAGUCAUUGAAAAUUAGUUAAUGUCUUUAACUCAUUUAAAAGGGAUGAUCACUCAAAAGGGAAUAGUGAUUCUAAUGGUGUCAGCCUUAUGGCUGAUGAAGAGACUGUGAGUGAUUGGAGGAUUUUGGAAACAAGGCCAGAAAUUUGCCAAUUGGUCCUAGACCAAUUAUACGACAUUAUAAAGCUAAUAAUGAAGGGAAUUCAAUUAAGCUCAGUGGUCAUGGAAAUUCUCAGCAACAACAUUGAUAAUAGUAGCAAGGACGAGUCACUUUCACUUAUUCAACAAAAGAAAAUAUCAUCUGAAAAUGUUGACAUAAAUGUUGAUUAUCAAGGAUGGCUUGAAAUAAAGAAGAGAAAGUGGAAAAGUAUCCUGGAAAAGAGAAAAAAAGUGAAGGUAAAGUUCUCAUUGCAAUCUUAGUAUUGAAAUCCAUUUAUAUCAAUAUCUAUGAUUGUAUUUUGGAGUGAUUCUUCUAAGAUCAAGCACCAGAAGUUAAUGAUGUUUGGAUCUUCUACCGAAAA